GCUACUGUGGUGUAGUGGUUUGAGCAUCGGACUACGACUCCGGACACAAGGGUUUGAUUCCCUGCUUGGCC
Molecule: non-coding RNA, 71 nt
Organism: Phrynosoma platyrhinos (Desert horned lizard)
Lineage: Eukaryota; Metazoa; Chordata; Lepidosauria; Squamata; Phrynosomatidae
Source: the annotation of a GenBank genome assembly